GAUGAACGCUGGCGGCGUGCCUAAUACAUGCAAGUCGAGCGAACAGACGAGGAGCUUGCUCCUCUGACGUUAGCGGCGGACGGGUGAGUAACACGUGGAUAACCUACCUAUAAGACUGGGAUAACUUCGGGAAACCGGAGCUAAUACCGGAUAAUAUAUUGAACCGCAUGGUUCAAUAGUGAAAGACGGUUUUGCUGUCACUAAUAGAUGGAUCCGCGCCGCAUUAGCUAGUUGGUAAGGUAACGGCUUACCAAGGCAACGAUGCGUAGCCGACCUGAGAGGGUGAUCGGCCACACUGGAACUGAGACACGGUCCAGACUCCUACGGGAGGCAGCAGUAGGGAAUCUUCCGCAAUGGGCGAAAGCCUGACGGAGCAACGCCGCGUGAGUGAUGAAGGUCUUCGGAUCGUAAAACUCUGUUAUUAGGGAAGAACAAAUGUGUAAGUAACUAUGCACGUCUUGACGGUACCUAAUCAGAAAGCCACGGCUAACUACGUG
Molecule: ribosomal RNA, 497 nt
Filed under: uncultured bacterium
Lineage: Bacteria
Description: partial 16S ribosomal RNA
Rfam family: Bacterial small subunit ribosomal RNA
Source: RNAcentral